UGGGGAAUAUUGGACAAUGGGCGAAAGCCUGAUCCAGCAAUACCGCGUGAAUGAUGAAGGCCCUAGGGUUGUAAAGUUCUUUUAAUAGGGAAGAUAAUGACGGUACCUAUAGAAAAAGCCCCGGCUAACUCCGUGCCAGCAGCCGCGGUAAGACGGAGGGGGCUAGCGUUAUUCGGAAUUACUGGGCGUAAAGGGCGCGUAGGCGGAUUAGUAAGUUGGGAGUGAAAGCCCGGGGCUUAACCUCGGAACUGCUUUCAAAACUGCUAGUCUUGAGUGAAGUAGGGGGUGAUGGAAUUCCUAGUGUAGAGGUGAAAUUCUUAGAUAUUAGGAGGAACACCGGUGGCGAAGGCGGUCACCUGGACUUCAACUGACGCUGAGGCGCGAAAGCGUGGGGAGCAAACAGG
Molecule: ribosomal RNA, 404 nt
Filed under: uncultured bacterium
Lineage: Bacteria
Description: bacterial SSU rRNA
Rfam family: Bacterial small subunit ribosomal RNA
Source: RNAcentral